Long non-coding RNA from Prosopis cineraria, 807 nucleotides. RefSeq lists it as uncharacterized. Lineage: Eukaryota; Viridiplantae; Streptophyta; Magnoliopsida; Fabales; Fabaceae. The record is from RefSeq and is a predicted model, not a curated record. The transcript is spliced from 3 exons.
UUCUGCCACUGUAGGAAAUUACCAAAUUAUCCUCAUCCUGAUCAGAUUUUUUUCUCUCUCUCUCUCUUUUAUUCUUGUCUUCUUCGAGUCUUCUAGAGCAGAGGCAGAGUUGAGAGUCCGCACCAAACCCUUGCACUGCCUCUCAUCGAUCUCCGCACCCUCCUUCUCAACCAAUGGCUACGUCGCUGUUCGUGUGGGUCGCUAUCAUCGGUGGCUUAUCGCUGUUCUUCUGCCACUGCUGCGAAUUCUUCCCCUGUCUCACAGUCGUUCCUCUGUCUCUGUCAUUGUUUCAAGUAUGCUGAAUCUCUUUCUUUUUCCUUGUUGCUUCGUUGUGUGCAAAGGCUUGGGUGAGCUGAGAUUUAUUUUGCUUCUUGUUCAUUUUAUUAUCAUCGGUAUGCUCAUCCGUUCUUCAUUAACUGUGACAGUCCUUCCGUCUUCACUGUUCGAAGUGCCUCCUCCUUUCUUGUUCGUGUGCUGUUGGUCUGUCUAAGGGUAUUUGGAGGAGGAGAAAUUGGAACGAUGGUUAGAGGUGAAUUUGUAAAUUCCCAAAAUUUCAGAUUUGUUAGCUAACGCUGAUCCUACCAACGACCUCUGAAGGGCAAUAUAGCUACAUUGGGUGGAAAUUUUGUUUGGUACUGUCACUUUUUGAUAUAAAUCUUUAAGUCGUAUGUAUUUUUAAUUUAAAAGAAAGAUUAGCUGCUCCACAUAGAUUGUUGUUAGGAUUUUAUUUUGAUUUACAUGCUGUUGUUGGCUGGAAGGAGCUAAGCUCCUGAUUGAUACUAUUUUCAAGAAAAUUUUGUUUUAGAA